GCAGCAGCGCUGCUCUCGCCCGAUCGUUGCGCUCAUAAUUUGAAUUUCAAUUACAACUGUUUCGGUUUUGAUUUGUUACAAGUGCUUGUUGCUACACAGUUGUUGUUGCUCUAGGAGCGAAACCGUUUCGUUUUACUUUUGCGCAUUUGCUAAUCACCAUGUCUGCCGAGAGCAGCAGCAGCACCAGCAGCAGCAACGAUGACGCUGACAGAGAGCCUGAGAACAUUAUGGAUUUAUCAAUUAGAGCUAUGAAAUCGACUCACGUGAGCGCUGCUACAGCGACGCCAACGCCUCUGUCGCUGACAGCAGCAGCAGCAGCCACACAAAUACAAAUAUUAGAAAUAAUAACAAAAAAUAAAAAAUAAUAAUGAAAAGCAAAAAAAAAAAACCGCGCGUAUGGCAGAUAAAUCAGAGAAAAACCUAAAAACAUUGAAAUGAACAGCAAAUGCCGCUUGCCGCAGUACACAGACACGCACACAUACAGCUAAAGACUGCCUAUACAGUCGCAGACAGACACACACACUCAUGCAAAGACAAACGUCAGCGCCGCCGUCGCAUUGACGUAAUAGCAAAAACCAUAGUACGUAGAGUAAAUUAAAAUAACACAAAUGAAUAAAAUGCCAGCACAAUGAGUGCCGGCUGCGAUCUCACUGAGUAUAACCAAGUGCGAGAGUGUGUGAGAGAGCGCGAGUGGGAGAGCGGCGAUAGCGUGUGAGAGCGGCGCGCAAUUAAAAAUAUCAAUUUGAACUUUGAGACGCAGUGGAAAAUGCCCAAAGCCAUAAGCUGCUGUCGGCCCGCAUAGAACCAAUUAGAAACAACAACAAAUUGAAUAGCCGAAGCAGCGCAGCUUGCGAGAUUCGGCUGCCCAAAGCUGAGCUUCGGGCUCGGCUGCGAGUUGUUCGUCGUUUUGAGUUGCGCGCGCGACGAAAAGAGAAAAAAAAUGGUUGCCAAAAAUAAAAGUUCAAAAUGUGCACAACACGCGGUGUCACUGAGAGCGAGAGAGAGCAAGAGUGAGAGCGUGUGCGAGUGUAUGUGUGAGCAUGUGUCGUUAAGCAGAGUAUGAGAGAGAGCGAGAGAGAGAGAGAGAGAGCGCGCGCUUGUUGGCAGCCACAUGGCAGCGUCAGCAUGGUUCUAAGUUGUAGCGUAUCUGUAUCUGUAGUAUGUCGUAUCUGUGUGUUAUUUCUUGUUGUUGCUGUUCUUGUUGUAUUUGUGUGUGUUUGCCCUUAGUAGCUGGGCGCUCUCGCGCACACACACGCACACACGAGCACGUUUUCGCUCUGCCUGUACUGCUGGCCGCGAGCGCAUAUUGUACACUUUGCAACGGGCGCGUGUGCCCAGUCAGAGUCAGAUGAACAGCCAAAGCCGUGUGGACGCAAAUUAAAUACAAACAAUAAAAUUGGCAAAUAAAAUUCGAUAAAAAAUAUGUGCAAAAAUCGUAUAAUACAUUAAUAAAUUCACGGCAUACGAAACAUGGUAAAUUAAUCAUUUUCGGUGAGCAGCGGCACCAGAGACUGCCUUUAAACAAAAAAUUCAACUUUGCCCAAGCGAAGCACGUGUGUCAAGCAGGAACUUUUAGUAACAAAAGCAAAAAUCAAGUGCAUCCUAGCUGCAGCGGAAGCUUUAGCCAAAGCGUCGCUCAUCUGUGUAGAGUUUUAACGGCUUCCGCAUCCUAUGCGAGCCAGCGCGACUUUCAAACCGUCAGCCAAGUGCACUUGUGUUUGUCGAGUUGUGUGCGUGUGUGUGUGUGUGCAUCGCGCUCUUGUCACAUGCGCGCUCAGUCAGCAUAGGCAGCGACAGCGGCAGUGGCAGCGGCAGCGGCUACGUCGACGACACCCACAACGCCCGAAGACGGCGCUAAGCGAACAGUCGUCGUCAGGCAGCGGCAGCAGCAGCGUCAGCAGCAGCAGCAGCAGCGAAUACCAAGAACACGCCACGCGCUCUAACAACAACAAGAACAACAACAACAGCUACACCAAUUAAUUUGACCACAACAAGGACAACAGCCAUUAAAACGCUAACGAAACGCGCGCGUUUUUCAACACACAUCAUCCAUUUGUGCAAAAACAAAAAAAGAAAUCAGCGUGCGCGUGUGCGUGUGCCUGCGCUUGUGUCGGUGAGCUGUCAACAUUUUUCAUCGAUUUUCGGCUCGUCGUGUGUUGUUCGCUCGUCGGCGGCCGCGACUCCCAGCAAAACGUCCUGUCGUGUGUUCGUGUGUCUCUGUGUGUGUGUGCGCGCGUGUGUGAGUGUAGAUAUACUACACCCCCGCUCACUAGACGUGCCCGCGCCAACGAUCAGGCUCAAAGCUCACUUAGCGAACAAAAAAAUAUAACUUGCUGUCUCUGUCGCACGCCGGGCGCUGAUUUCCGUGAAGGCGCACCUACAACCCCCCACUCCACUCCGCUCCACAACACUCUACCCGCAAACCAAAAAGCCUACCAGCUAACUGUUUAUUAAGUUUGUCAAGUCUAUGCGAAUGCCAUACUAGUGCUUUAUAACUGUACAAUAAAUACCAACUACAACAACAAACAAACGCGAGAGAACUCUCAAAAAACAAAAACAAAAAGCAAUUGAGUUUAUUUUUAGUGCCACAACAAAAAUAAAUAAAUAAGCAAAGCAGAGCCUGCAACAACGUUUAACGUUCUACAGCAACAACAACAACAACAACAACAACUGUCAACAAGCUAAAUAAAAGAAAAAGUAGCCAAAACUCAAACGCAGCGGCAUUUGAAAAAACGCACGACACGUAAAAAAUAUAUAUAUAUAUAAAAAAAAUGCUAUAAAAAUAGCGCAAUUAGCAAAUGAAACAAAGCAACAACAACAACAACAACUCAACUAAAUUAAACUACAACUAAAGCUAAACUAUAAAAAAAUCAACGAAAAAAAAGAACACAAAAACUUGCAACCAAAAAUACCAAAAGCAAUGCGCCUAAAUAUUAAAGUUCACUUAAAAAUUGUAAAAAAAAUAAGCUAAAUUAAAAGAAUAAAAUUUGUCUGUUACGUUUCAUGUUGUUGUACAAUUUUGUUGUUAUUUCUAAACGCCUGUUGUUAUUAGAAAUAAAAGAAAGGAAAAUACAUAAAUAAACAGCAAGAAUUAUAAAUAAAAGAACAAAUUGUUGAAUGAAUUCGCGGUGCCUUUAUUUAUAGCGAGCAGCAUAAAUAAUUAAAUAUAUCUCUAUAUACAUAAAGUUUAAUAAUUAUAAUGCAUAUUUAGCCAAGCAAUAAAGAAACGUUAACGUGCAAUAUUUAAAGUUUACAUUGAAUUUAGCAUAAAACAUUCAUUUUUUGUACAUUGUGAUUUCAACAAAAAAAGAAAGAAAACAAAAAACAAAGUUAUAUAAAUUAAACAACAAAAUACGCUACAAAAG
This is a long non-coding RNA of Drosophila montana, 3365 nucleotides long. RefSeq lists it as uncharacterized. The transcript is spliced from 3 exons. The record is from RefSeq and is a predicted model, not a curated record. Lineage: Eukaryota; Metazoa; Arthropoda; Insecta; Diptera; Drosophilidae.